Mastomys coucha (southern multimammate mouse) is the source of this 664-nucleotide long non-coding RNA. RefSeq lists it as uncharacterized. The transcript is spliced from 3 exons. The record is from RefSeq and is a predicted model, not a curated record. NCBI's taxonomy places the organism in Eukaryota, Metazoa, Chordata, Mammalia, Rodentia, Muridae.
ACAGCUAAGGAUUUGCCUUGAACCCCAGAGGAGACUUGGACCCCCGCGGAACCAUUAGGGCUAUGAGAAUUCUUGUAGAUAGACGGAAUGCAUCAUGGGAAGGACGUGGACUUCACAGGGCCAGAAACGUUAGGGUUCAGGGAGAGAUGUUUGGGUUUGAACUUGACAAAACAUUUCGGUUAAUCUUCAUUAUCAACUUCAUUGGACUGAGAAAUCCCUGUGAACCCACACUGAAGGAUGAGCAAAAUACCAGAUCAAUCCAAACCAAGAAGUAUUUUACCAGACACAUAGCCGGAGUCUUCAAAACUGUUAAGAUCCUGAUGAAUUCUAAGGACUUCUAAGAAACUAAAGAGACAAGAUGGCAUGGUGUGAUAGUCUCUGGAUGGGAUCCUGGUGCAGAAAGACUGGUAAAAUUCACAUCAGUGGAGAGGCCAGCCAGUCACCGCCCUUCAGCAAACUACAGUUUUUCUCUGGCAAAGUGCAGCAGAACCCCCAGGAGGCAGCCCACUGGGAAAUUUCUGAGGCCCUGGGAUUUUGAACAGCAGCUCUUCCGACAUGUCAUUUACCCUAGAGAAGUAAGUAAAUUAGACAGUGAAACAGAGGAUGCAGUCUGUCUCAUCGCAGACCUAAAUUGAAUUUAUAAAUAAAAAUAAGAAGAGGAGAA